RNAcentral lists this ribosomal RNA (437 nucleotides) under uncultured bacterium. Its description in RNAcentral is "partial 16S ribosomal RNA". It matches the Rfam family "Bacterial small subunit ribosomal RNA", at positions 28 to 507 of the family's 1533-position model. The record is from RNAcentral.
GAUGAACUCUGGCGGCAUGCUUAACAUAUUCACGUCGACCGGAGAGUGGUGUUUCCCGUCGCGGCGGGGACGGGAACGCGUGAGAAGCUGCCGCCAGGACGCGGACAUGAGCAGGAAACCAAAGCUACUACGCCGUAGGCAGAGGAGCAAGCGGAGCAAGCCGCCCGAGGACGUGCUUGCGUCUGAUUAGCUCGCGGGUGAGGCAAUAGCUUACCAAGGCGAUGAGCCGUCGCUGGUCCGAGAAGACUAUCAGCCACGCUGGUACUGAGACACGGAGCAGGCUGCUACGGGAGGCAGCAGUGGGGAAUUUUUCGCAAUGGGCGAAAGCCUGAAGGAGCAAUGCCGCGUGGAGGUAGAAGGCCCACGGGUCGUGAACUGCUUUUCCCGGAGAAGAAGCAAUGACGGUAUCUGGGGAAUAAGCAUCGGCUAACUCUGUG